Long non-coding RNA from Felis catus (domestic cat), 11211 nucleotides. RefSeq lists it as uncharacterized. The record is from RefSeq and is a predicted model, not a curated record. The transcript is spliced from 5 exons. Lineage: Eukaryota; Metazoa; Chordata; Mammalia; Carnivora; Felidae.
UUUCGGUUCUUCUUUCCCUUUUCCUUUGGCCGAUUGCUUCUUCCCUCGAGAGGAGUUCAUUGCUACAGACUUCAAUAAAGUGGAAAGGCUGUCCAGGGAACAUUUGGCCAAUUCCUCUGCCUCUCUGCAGGAUUGAUUGGACCAGGCGAUUUGUGACUCCUGCCUUUCCUUCCAUCACUCAGAGGCUUAGUUUUCCUUCUGGUUGCUUUGUCUCCAGUGUCUCAUAUGCCAGCAUGAUGAUUGGCACAACUGUCUUGAACACUUCAAGUGCAAUUAGUCCUUCCGUGAGGAGGAGGAGGAGGGAGGCAAGCGUUCCUCCUGACACAAAACAGUCUUCUUUUUUAGGACUGUCUACCACUUCGAGCCAUUCCUAAGCAGAAGACACCCAUCUUCCAGUAGCAGAUACCCCCGCGCCUUCCUCGUUAUGCCAACCCUCACGUUGGUCAGUAAGGCAUUAGAGAGUCUGUUGUGGGUCCUGCAGAAAGUCAGAUGCUCCGGGUGUCACGCUACAACUUUAAGACAUGGCUUCUGCCCCUUUGAAGCUUACGUCUGAAUUAGAGAAACAUCCAAACAUAUGAAGGUCCUGAUCAAACGCCUGAAGUGUGUCUACUGAUGCACCCACCUCCAGUGUCUAGAUUGUUAGGUCUUUUCUGUUUCUCUUAUUUUAUCCUACACGUUAAAAAACGUAUGUGGCUUCUCCAUUCCAAGGCUAUCCUUAGCACAUGUCCUUUAUACCUCUUGGGGUGGACAGAUGAUGGCCCCAGACGUGUUCACAUCCUAAUCCCCCGUGCCUGUAAAUUUACCUUACAUGUCAAAAGUGACUUUGCAGAUGAGAUUUGGUGGAGAUGCGAUUUAAAAUGGGGAGAUUUUCCUAGAUUGUGUCGGUGGACUCCACGUAAUCACAAGACAGGGGCAGAGUCUGAGAGGGGGAGGUGGCAACAGAAGCGGAGCUUGGAUGAUGUGGGGCCGUGAGCCAAGGAAUGCAGGCAGCCUGUACAGCUUGGAAAAAACAAGGAAAUAGACUUUCCCUUGAGCUUCCAGAAGGAACCCAGCCCUGCUGAUAAUGUUUUGAGUUCCAACUUCCAGAACUGUAACGUAAUAGAUUGGUGCUGUUCUCACCUACUGAAUUUGUGAUCAUUUUAAUACAGCAGCAGUAGGAAACAUACAUUGAUUGAGCCAUCCCUGGUCACCUGACCCACAUUUGCGUCUUUGGUCUUUAUCUUCUUUUCCGCAGGCUAUGAGCGGCCAACAAAUGUAGGUUAUAAGUGAACAAAACUGUUUGUUUUUAAACUUUCAUUGUUCCUCUACCUUCUGUCCUUUUCAACCUUUUGUAGCCAAGUUAUUUUACAAACAGUCUAAGGCAUUGAUUCUCAGAUCUGUCUAUGCCCAGCAUCACCUGAAAAGUUUUUCAAAUAAUGCAUCUGCUCAGGCUGUUUCACGGAUCUGCUGGAUUGGGACCCCCACCCCACAUCCACUCACUGAACUGUAGCACCUACCACCCCAGUAAAACAAUUCGUGAGAAAGUUAAUGAAGUUACUCUUCCUCACCCCCCAUCUUCAUAAUCCCCAAAUAUGGCACCACAUUCAGUCUGUAAACUCUGAAACUCUGCUACAUCUAAUGUGCUGAUGAUCACCUUAUUUCCAGAGAUUCUUCCUUGGCUUCCUAAUUUUAUCACUAAUUGCCCAUUUGUUUUCCUUCCUAACCUUAAAGAUGAGUCCUCAGAUCUGUGUAUCUAUGUUAUCUAUGUAUGGAUCUUUGUAUCUAUGUGUCUGGUUUUAGUGUUUCCAUCAUGAAUUCCUGUCUCUCUUCCGUGGAGCUCAGCUGUCCUGAGCAUCACUUCCUCCCUUGUGUGGACAACUUCUAAACUUGUAGCUUCUUCUCGGACCUCUCUUCCAGCCCCAGUAUCGCUUUCCCAACUGGCUGCUAGACCAUUCUCUGUAAUAGCUACCAUUUGUUAGAUGUUUUUAGUCUUCACGACAGUCCCCCAAGAUCUUAGUCCUGUAUUCACAGAUGAGGAAUCUUAGGCUCGCAGAGGUUAUGCAACCAGCCAGGAGUCAUACGUCCCUGUGAACCAGAUUCAAAAUGUACCCUCAAUAUUCAACGGAAUCCUCAAUUCUUCUUUUGGCAAGUUUUCAAAAUCUAUUUACAUAGGGAGCUUCCUUGGGGGGUUCUGCGGGCCCAGGUCCAUUACCAUGCUUCCGUUUCCUCUCAAGGCAAAGAGGGAAUAUAUUUAAGUGUGUACAUUUCAAGCGUGAGCUGUUCAAGAGAAGACACCAACUUUUCUCAGGGUGAGGCAUUCCUUAUUUUUCCACUUGUUUAAAACUUACCCUUCCUUCAGUGCUCAACUGAAAUGCCUCUGUGCACAUGAGGUCUCCUAGACCCACCUCACACAGAAGAAAUUGCCUUUUCUUUGAACUAGGGGUUUUCAGGAUAGUGACUAUAUAGUAAACAUUUCUGUCCACACCCCUCCUAGCCCUGUGUAUCUGGCAACCUGCUUCUAGGGCUUUGCCAAAGAAGACUUGAAUGAUGAGACACUAUUGGGAAUAUUUUGCUCUGCCAUCCGGAAACUGGUUUUCCUAAACAGGACACAUAUCUUUGAACUUUCUCCUACCUCUGAGUAAGUUCUCUGCCCUCAUGGGGCAGGAACCCUCUCUCUAAACUAGGCUGGUCUUGGAAAUUCCCUUUAUUUGGAAGGAUGAAUUUUUCUUCCCUAAGAGGCCUCUCAGCUCAAGUUCUGCUUUAUCACUUUUUCUACCAAGGAGUCUAAGUGCUCUGUGCAGAUGAAACUCCUAAUAUCCAGCCCUAGCACCCUAGAAUUCCAAUGAUAAAUCUACAGAUGGUGGCUCCCCACCUCCACCCUCUUCCGUGUAAUGUGAGAUGUGGAAAGAGAGAAAUCAGCCCAUCUCGACACCAACUGGUAGAGGCAUCCCCAGCAGGACCUCAGAGAAGGAUAGGUCUUCCUACAUGGAGGAGGAAAGUGUAAGCUUCCUUUGUAAUGCAUCAAGCAAGAGUAGAGACUCACAGGUAGAAAUAAUGAGUGACAGGAGAAAGGCGGCCACAGUGGGGAGACCACCCUGGUUGAGCUGGAGCAUUUAAGGGACAUGACAUUAUCUCAGUAAAUGGCUUCAGAUUCCAAAGGAUCUUAAACACCAGCCAGUGGAGAUUAGCCUUGACGUUAGGGGCACUGGGUAUCCUUGUAUAUUUUAAAGCUGGAAAGUGAUCUAAUGCUUAGGUUUCCAUAAAUAAAUAACCAAAAGGAAGAAGGGAAGAGUGGCCAAAUGUCUUAAAUUCCUCUUGGGCCUAUUGCCUGAUUUAUCUUGGACCCCAAACACACAGACAUGUGCAGAUUUUCUUGGAUUAUUUAUUUUGGUUUUAACGUACACAGUGGAGAACUCGAUGUGAGCUUGGCUGGAUGCUUCAGAGAAAAGGGCUGUGUUGUGUAUGCAUCUGUUGUUGCAACUGGUGCAGGCCAUCUGUGGGUGGUUCCUGCCAUUCUUAGCAGCCCUCCUUCUCUCUUGGAGAAUGAAGGCUCCUACACUGAGUCAUUUGGUGGCCGCUGAAUUUUAUUUUCGGAAUGUGUCCUAAAUACUGCAGGCUGCCCACUCACUAUGCCGAAGAGAAUGCCCUUUGAGAAGAGGAUUCCUAUUUGUCUAACAACAGCUUGCUGCUGGGGUGAUCUCUCUCUUUUGUCACAGGCUGAAUGGGGAAAUGCUCAGCCUUUGAUCUCCAAGGCUGAGAGCGUCCAGGGAGGAAGCUGAGCAGCCCGCUAUGGUUUGAGUCUGAAACACAUCUUUAUGUUGCUUCACACGACGUUGCAUGUGGAUCACUAUCUCGGUGUUCUAGAAGAAUCGGAAUCAUAAAAUUUAAGAACUGGAGGGGACCCCAGAGUCCAGCUGCCUACAGAUCACCUGAAUGUCCUUUACAGUAGUUCCAACUAGGGGUCAUUCUGCUGCGUCUUGCUAGCUUCUUGUGCCAGAAGACUCACUACCUUGAAAAGAUUUCUAAUCCAGGGUAGCCAGUAGCUAGCUUCUUGUGCCAGAAGACUCACUACCUUGAAAAGAUUUCUAAUCCAGGGUAGCCAGUAGCCUCAUACAAUACCCUGUUUAUGUAAGCCUUUCUAGAGAGAUUGAGUUAGGUGUUUUAAAAGCUCACCAAAAAUCAUACCUGCAGAGCCUGCAAAUUCGUAUCGAGGAAUGUGGCUAAGGAACUAAAUGAAUGAAUGAAGCAAAAUGUAAUAUUCCUUUCCAUGGCCAGUAGUAAGGAGAUAAAGUGAAUUAAAAACCAUGUUGUAGAAUAAUAAGUGUUAAUAUGAAGAGGCAGUAGCAGCUAUCAUUUUAAGCACUUGUUCUACGUCUUUUCUGGAGCUUUCCAUGUACUAUUUUAUUUAUUAUUCAUUCAUCAUGUGUCAUGAUGUGUGUGUGUGUGUGUGUGUGUGUGUGUGUGUGUGUGUGUUUUGAAGGCUGGGAGGGUCAGGGAUUCUGUGAACACUUUAGAGUUUUUUGAGGCUGAGCUAAUGGUGUCCUCCAUCUCCUGUCUCCUACACUGGCUUCUGAAUUGCUAUCCCUGCCCCAGCCGUCUGCUUUCCUGAGGCUCCACGAAACAUUUCCCCACUUUGCCUAUCCUGUGGUUGGUUGGGGUCAGUCGCUUUUUCACUUUCAUCAAGACAAGGCAGGCUCCCUGAGGAGGUAGGCUUUUUAGGAAGACUUACAGGGGGUGAGGGACUAUCAUUAGGUAAAGCCCUGAAGAAAGGUACUGAAGGAUGGAUCUUCUAAAUGCAUAUUAAUGCUUAAUUGUUUCUGAUGUUCUUUGGAGAGUCUGAGCCUCUCCUAAUUUUCUUGAUCUCUCAACCCUGAGGAAGAGCUGUACUAUCUGUCACACUGGACCAGGAACUUGACUUCCUGCAUGGCAGUUCUAGAACGAUUCCACUGUCUUCCUAGCUAUGAGCAUAGGAUGUGACAGUCCUGGACCUUAGUGAAUAUCACAGUGGUUACAAGAGUCUCUGGGUCCCUCCCCCUGGGCUCUUGCUCUCACUGAGAUCCUUCUGUAGGGGGGGCCCAGAUGCACCCAGAGUUUUUCUCAUGCUGUGUUUGAAACUUGACCAUUUUUUUUAAUGAUAAAGAAUAAUUUCAAUAAUGUAGGGUUGGUUUCUUAUUAAAUCAAAGGAGAAAGAUGAUCAAGCGUGGUAGGUAUUGUACUUUAAGUUGAUUACAAAAAGCUUUAUUGAGGGUUAACCACUAGGCAAUGGAUAGAAAAUCAAUUACACGGUAGUUAAACAUCCAAUAAUAUGUGUUGUAAUGAACAAUUCAUAUUUAACACCUCUUAUGAAAUAAUGAGCUGUGUUGGAGUUUUGGGGUAGCCAAGCAGCAGUUGGGAUAUGAGAGUAAAAUCUUGAGGAGGCUGACACCAUGUUUUAUCAAGUAGCAUCUCACGGCAUCAUGGUUAUGUGAGGGCUGGUUCACUUCCCAUUCCGGUAUCAUGCCUCCUGACGGCUGACAUGACCACACAGCUUCUAAGAGUCACCAGUCUAGACUGAGACCCAAGACUGCACUGACGUCAGAUUGGUAUGAAAGAGCAAGUCGUUAAGUCGCUAAGAUGAUGCUGUGCAUCAUGAAAUUAACAUUUCCAGAUUUCCGUAGGUAAUGUGGACAGCCAGGGGGUCCUUUUCUCAUCCUAUCCCAGUCUAUAGAGACCCAUCUCUUCACCGUCUGCCAUAUUGUCUCCCACGUGAUACAUGAAAGCCUGACUCAGAACUCUUUAUAUUUAAAUGGUAUUUGCAUGUAGUGUGUUCAUGAAUAACUCAAUUCAGUUGCUAUUCAUGCUUUUCCUUUUUCACCACACCGCCCAAUCAAAUGUGAUUUCAAGAUAGGAAGGGGCCAUCCAGUCUCGAAACCUGCCAAGCCACCCACAUUUCUGGCUUCACUGAAGGUUGUUCUGUAAUUCCCUGUGUCUCCUUCUGCUCCGGGUUCUAUAAUAUGAAGCUAGUAUUCUCAAAGGAGUUCACAGUUUGUGCCUCCAGAAUCAGACCAUGGUAGAGUCCUUCAGUUUAGCCAAUUCACAGAUAUUUUGCAGAGUUACAGGAGAGGUGAAGGAGAAAGCAAAGAGUGGAAGACAAGAAGAAAAUAGCAGCGUUCAGGUGGCAAUUGGAAAUGAGAACCAGUGAAGCGGAGGGAAUACAAAGCGGCUAUUUCAUGGGUAGAAGAUCGCGAUGGGGAAGGUUCACUCAUGAGUAGGAGAAGCUGAGUGAGGAAAGGACAAUAGGAGGGAGUAAGCUAUUGGCUCAGAAAACACUGGCUUUGGCUGACAUCGUGAAGAUCAUAAAACCAACCUGAGGUAAGUAGGAUAGUUAGCAUUUGGGAGCUUAGGCUCUAGAGCCUGGCAGACUAGAUCUCUGGUCCUUUCUGCCACUUGCCAGCUAUGUGGUUGGGAAUGUCUUUAACCCCCUCUGGGCCCAGUGAUGCAAAAUCUACGUGCUUACACCCAAGUACCUAGUAUAAGAUCUGUCGUAUCCUUGUCACGCAAUAAAUAUUGGACAAUGUGUGUGUAAUCGUAUCUACUUUAUAUGGGCAUUUUUGUGCAGACAGAUUGCAAAAAGCCAGGUAGGACAUUUCAUGUAUGGCCUGGUACAUAUAAUAUAAUUAUGAGCAUACUUAUUACUGCACUUAUUUUUAAAAUAUGCAAGCAUUUGAUUUUCUGUAGCCAUUUGAUCUGACUACGUAAACGAUGUCCCUCCUGUUGCUACCACGCUGGGAACUGCUGUGAAUGCUGGGGCAUAUUUUGUGAGCUCCCAUCAUAGUGGCUGGCAUUAAACAUGCUCCCGAGAUAGGUUAAAUAAGUGAGUCGCUUGCGGAAUCUUAAAGUGGGAGCUCACCUUACUGAACAUCUAGUCUAGCCUGUAGAUUUUAUAGGCACAGCCUAUAAAUCCUUUUGAGACCAAGUAGAAAUCGCUGUAGCAGCAUGGCAUUUUGUUAACGAGGAUGCUGUGGCCCGGGGAGGCUAGGUGGUUUGGGCUGGGCAACCCAGUGUGUGAUGACUAAACCAGAAGUAUAGCCCAGGUCACGCAGUUCCCAGGGUGGUGGCAACCAAGCCUUCCCUUUCAGGGACAAGGGUGGCUAGCCAGUUGUAGAGCCUGGGGGCCGCCGUGUAAGAUGUGACUUUCUCAUUUUGCAGUCUCCAGGGGCUUCAGUGUCUUUUCGGAGGAAGAGCUACAACCUGAGGCCUGGAAUCUGAGGUCCGGGUUGUCACAAGGGGGUUGAGCCCAAAUUCUAGGGCUGUGGGUUCCGAGGUAGAAUUCUUGACAGUUCCAAGUAGGAAUCUGGACUCCACCUGAAUUUCUCAAACACCAGCCCGGGAUUUGAGAGCUGGAGAGGCCCUGAUGUAUCAGCAGUCACGAUAGGUUGUGGGAAAGGCAUGUGAAAAGUGAUGGGACUGAGAUGAAGGAGGUGUCGAGGAGCAAGAAUUCCCGUCCCCUUGAAGGCCCUUGUAGCUGGAUUAGGAAUCAGAUUGACACGAGACAGAAUAACAGGAGAAAACCAAAUUUUACAGCAACUCUCAAAGCACUAACAGAAGCUUGAAAACGGAGAAUUUAUAAUCACCAACGUGCUUGCUGUCAAAGUCAUGAUGGUGGCCUGCUUGGGACCUGUCCCCCUCUUCUGCAGCUGCCUCAGGGAGAUGAGAAGGCUUCGGUGUAGGAGCCCAGUGCAGCAGGGGGAACAUCUGUGAACUGAGAGAGUUGCGAGAGCCCCCGUUCUUGAUUGGAGUGGACAGCGGAGAGGUGGGAGCGCACAGGGCUGGAGCUACUCAUUCCAGAUAGGACUCCGGUAAACCAAUCAGAUAAAUCUCUUCAUUAGGGUCUUGAGUAAAAGGCAAGUGGAAAGAGGGCAGAGCGCAGCCUGUAGAUUAAAUUUGGUCAGAGCCAAUAUCUGACAAUCCCCCAUGCUGUUAUCCAAAUGAAAGCUAAUGCAACUAUGAAUUAGCAGCCCCAGGAGCAAUGGAGGAGGGAAUUCAAUUCUCUCCAACUCUGCUCCAGUCUAGACUGAGAGAGGAACCACGGGAGGCUGGCGUCGCUCCCUCCAGGCAUGCAGGUGUUGACUGGGGGGUGGUGGGGCACAAGGUGCCCCACUUGGGCUUCCCCACUCAAGUCUCAGAGUGUGGGCCUCAGUCAUGUCUUAGGUCUGCUCAGCCAGCUCAGGGAAGGCCCAGGGUGAGCCCUACAUCUUCCAGAAGGUUUCAGCUGCAAGGGAGCCUCAUCCCCUCUGAGGAAAUUUCUCCUUGCCUUCCUCCUGCCAGCCUUGAGCAUGACUCUUUUCUUCACAGUGAGCCCUGGACAGAGUUCCCCGGCUGGCCCUUGAUAUUUCUAAAUCCAGAAGUCCCCCAGAUGGUAGCUACGCUUGUCGUGAGACCAGUCUGACAUAGAGGAUUGUCCAGUCACUAUGUAGCAUCACAUGUCAGCUGUACUCCAUCACAACAACAAAACAUAAGGAGUCCCCACCUAGCCUGAAUCCAGUGAUAGUGUAUCACUCUCCCCUGCCAAACCUUCAGAGCAACCAUUUCCCCUCUUUGUUUUCAACAGAACAGAAUUUUAAUGAAACUAAGAGCACAUAGGGGACCAUGGAUGGCCUUCCUUCCACUUAUGGAGAUUGAUCUUUAAUGCUUCCCUUGGAGGAAAUGCCUGCCCUUGACCCCUCACAUCUGUCAUUCGGGUCCCACUGACCCUGCAGUCGUGCCCUUCGCCCUGCCUUCCAACCCACAUGGCACUUACCCUCAGAUAUGUAUUCGAUAUUAAUGCAUUAUUGUUCAUUUAUCUUUCAGUCUGUUGAUUUAAUCUCGUCCUGGGCUUAUCCUUCACCCGUGUGCCAUGGUAUCGUGUAAAUAUGCUCUUAACGUUCCUAAUAGGCAAAGUCGGCCGUGUCUAGGUAAUUCUUCGGUUUGCACAAUGCAAUCUACAAAGGGGCCUUCUUUUCAUGAUGUUGGCGAUAAUGAUAUCAGAUUGUAUGGAGAAGGGCAGAGAAAAGCCGCGAUUAGUUCCAAGAGGGAGGCAUUGAGCGGCAGAGACGGAAUCUCCUCCAGCCCUCCCUGGGACGGGGUCUCGCUGUCAGCUAGCGGCAAUAUAGUCUCCUUAAUAUGACAAAUCGGAGCUCCUGCCGUACUUUACUGCCUGCAUGUUAAUGAGCCGAGCCCGUGUAACAGAGCCAUUUGGUGGAGGGAGUUUACAAACAACUUGGUUUUGAGAUACUCAGAGAGAGAGGGAGAGAAGGAAGAUGAGGUUGCAUUGAGAGCCGUAGGUCUGACGGAGGAGGCUGCCUCCCUACAAGCCUUGGGACUCAAGGAGAGCCCCCUGGAAGAGCCUUUGCUCUUGGAGUGGCCACACAAAGAGAGCCGGGGGAGACCUCUAAGACUCUGAGAUUGCAUUUCACUGAAGGACCCGAUUCAUUAAAAUGAUAUACAGAACACUCUCCAGGGGGCGCCCAGGUGGCUUAGUGGGUUGGGCGUCCAAGUUCAGCUCAGGUCAUGAUCUGGUGGUCCGUGGGUUCGAGCCCCACAUCAGGCUCCGUGCCGACAGCUCAGAGCCUGGAGCCUGCCUCAGAUUCUGUGUCUCCCUCUCUCUGCCCCUUCCCCACUCAUGUUCUCUCUCUUUGUCAAAAAUAAAUAAACAUUAAAAAAAAAACAACACUCUCCAGCACGUGCCACAAGAUUCCCAGGGUGAACGCAGGUCACUGUCCCCAUCUGGCUGCCACUCUGUGGUGCUUGAGUGACCCUCUCCAGCUGGAAGAGCAGGGGAGAGAAUGGGACCUAGGCUUUCACAGAAUGGGUCAGCCUAUUUUCUGAAUCCAGGGUUAGGGUAAUGUCCAGAUUCCUUAUCACCAGGCUCGUGAGGUCACUUUGUUAUCUCAACAGGGUGAAACAGUGGCCAGUGUGAGUGAGCCCUUUGGAACACUAGAGAUCUUGUCAUAAUGACGACGAUGAUGGCGACGGUUCUGAUGAUGGUGACAAUGUCACAUAACGUACUCUGUGCUUACCAGGUGCCAGACCCGGCAGUAGGGGUUUUAGAUGCAUGUAUCAUUUAAUCCUUACUCAACCAAGUGCUUGAUAAUACUGUUAUUCCAUUUUUAUGAUGAGUAAAGUAAGGUUCGAAGAGUUCAGUAUCUUGAUCACAGUUACAAAUCUCCUUAGUGAUGUCGCAUGCAGAAGUAUCAAUCAUUGGAAGAACACGUAUGGAGCCUCCUUGAAGGAUGUUGUAUUACAGAAUACUUGAACUAGAAGGAAACUGGACAUGAUCUGGCCCAACCUUUCUCACUAUCCAGGUGGAAAAACCAGCAGCCUGGAAAACAGAAGUGACCUCUGCAAGGCUAGGCCACCAGAAAAUGGCAAAGCUGGGGUUAAAGUCCAGAUCUUCUGAAUUCCAGUGCUUUGUUCCUCUCUGGCACCCUCAUUGUCUUUCAGUUUGGAGUGUUGCAGGAUUUUAAUUUUUAGGUGAUUCUGAUUAUCAGCCAGAGUUGGAGCCACUACUGAAGGCUCUGAUGUCAUCGGGCAAACACAGAAGCAGGUGGAAAGAUCAGCGAAGGAGGAGAGCCAGUUAAAUGCAAAAAACGGUGAUAGAGGGCUUUUGGGUGGUUUUUUGUUUUGUCUUUUGCUAUAACCCCUGGGCUCCUGCCAACGAUGAUGCUGAGGGUGAUUCCAAUGUUGAGGGACAAGAGAAAAUGGACUUCUGGGUAAGAUCCAUUAUCUUAAUGCAGAUGAAAUUUUCAAUAAUUACAACUUCUUGUCAAACAUGCAGGCUCAAUUGAAAUAAAGUCGUGAAUGGUGCCAGGAUUAUCUAGAUCAAUUCUCCUGUAUGUGUUAUCCCUGGUAGUCUCUCGAGAGAUAAAGCACCCAUCAUGCUAGGUAAUUAUGUGGAUAAGUGUGGCAAUUCCACAGUAACCCAGCCAUAAGUGAAUUCAGUGGGAACAAUUCAGGCUGAUAUAGCUGGAGGAGAGGAGGGGACCAGAGCAAAGUCCAGAUAGCAUUGUGACAAUCAUGGCCUCAUUUGUGCUGUCAGCAAUAAAGCACUAAAUCACUGCCUAUAGGAGGUAGGCACAAGGGUAAGUUAGAAAAAUUCUAGACCAUCCCUCAGUUUUCCAUCUGGCAGAUUCCCGAAGUGCAGCACUUAUGAGCCAUGUGACCGGAAGAACAUGGCAAACUCAAUAUUAAGAACAUGGCCUUAGCCAUGUAAGA